AGAGUUUGAUCAUGGCUCAGAUUGAACGCUGGCGGCAUGCCUUACACAUGCAAGUCGAACGGCAGCGCGGGGCAACCUGGCGGCGAGUGGCGAACGGGUGAGUAAAAUAUCGGAACGUGCCCUAGAGUGGGGGAUAACGUAGCGAAAGUUACGCUAAUACCGCAUACGAUCUAUGGAUGAAAGUGGGGGAUCGCAAGACCUCAUGCUCCUGGAGCGGCCGAUAUCUGAUUAGCUAGUUGGUAGGGUAAAAGCCUACCAAGGCUUCGAUCAGUAGCUGGUUUGAGAGAACGACCAGCCACACUGGAACUGAGACACGGUCCAGACUCCUACGGGAGGCAGCAGUGGGGAAUUUUGGACAAUGGGGGCAACCCUGAUCCAGCAAUGCCGCGUGAGUGAAGAAGGCCUUCGGGUUGUAAAGCUCUUUUGUCAGGGAAGAAAAGGUGGACUCUAACAUAGUCCGCUGAUGACGGUACCUGAAGAAUAAGCACCGGCUAACUACGUGCCAGCAGCCGCGGUAAUACGUAGGGUGCAAGCGUUAAUCGGAAUUACUGGGCGUAAAGCGUGCGCAGGCGGUUAUAUAAGUCGGAUGUGAAAU
Molecule: ribosomal RNA, 595 nt
Filed under: uncultured bacterium
Lineage: Bacteria
Description: bacterial SSU rRNA
Rfam family: Bacterial small subunit ribosomal RNA
Source: RNAcentral